GUUUCUGGUUUUCGGGUUUCUGGAUCAAUCUCUCGCUCUCUCUCCUUCUCUCAACCCCCGUCUCCUCUCUCUCACCAACUUCAUCCUUGAUUUCUUCACUAUCCACCAUGCCUCCAUAUCCAUAGUACCUAUUGGUACUCCUCCACGACCAGCCGAUCCGGACACCAACACCAACAUCGACGACGCCGCCGCAGCCGUCGAUUUCGAAGACGACAAGGAUCACCAUCCCCAAAACGACGCCGUUGUUUUCCCACGUGCAGCUGCUCCCCAACGGCGAAUUAUGAACCAGGGGCAGAGGGGAGUGUCGCCGGGAGGCUCGGAGAAGGCGGCGGAGACAAGAUCAGAGACGACGAAGCAAUGUUCUAAUCGAUCUGUCUGGGCUUUUACUUUCUGGGUUUUCAAUCAAUCUCUCUCAUGAACAUCUCCAUUACUUUCUGGGUUUUCAAUCGGAGAACCUCAAACUCUUGGUUGCUCUCUUCCUCAAGCAGCAAAGCAAAAACUCUUGGUUAUUUUCUGGGAUCAGAUUUUAAAAUGGCUUUGCCAAGAGAAAGAAGGUGGCAACUGCCAAGAAGAAGAAAUCUACCAAAGAGUUGGAUGCGGCUGCAAAAGCUGCUGCUCAAGAGGCUGCUUCCAGGAGGCUCUGCGGUAAAAGCCCAGUUUUGUUCAACAUGUUAAAUAUGAGCAUGUAAUUUACCAUUGUUCAUAUGGCCAAGUUGUGCGAAAUAAAGAGUGGGUUUUGGGUCUGGUUUUGUUAAAGAUGACCCUAAUUGUAUUGCGGUCGGUUGACUACAGGAAGUUUCACUUGAGCUUUUUUGUUUA
Molecule: long non-coding RNA, 819 nt
Organism: Rosa rugosa (rugosa rose)
Lineage: Eukaryota; Viridiplantae; Streptophyta; Magnoliopsida; Rosales; Rosaceae
Exons: 2
Source: RefSeq, a predicted model, not a curated record